UUAAGCGACUAAGCGUACACGGUGGAUGCCCUGGCAGUCAGAGGCGAUGAAGGACGUGCUAAUCUGCGAUAAGCGUCGGUAAGGUGAUAUGAACCGUUAUAACCGGCGAUUUCCGAAUGGGGAAACCCAGUGUGAUUCGUCACACUAUCAUUAACUGAAUCCAUAGGUUAAUGAGGCGAACCGGGGGAACUGAAACAUCUAAGUACCCCGAGGAAAAGAAAUCAACCGAGAUUCCCCCAGUAGCGGCGAGCGAACGGGGAGGAGCCCAGAGCCUGAAUCAGUGUGUGUGUUAGUGGAAGCGUCUGGAAAGGCGCGCGAUACAGGGUGACAGCCCCGUACACAAAAAUGCACAUAUUGUGAGCUCGAUGAGUAGGGCGGGACACGUGGUAUCCUGUCUGAAUAUGGGGGGACCAUCCUCCAAGGCUAAAUACUCCUGACUGACCGAUAGUGAACCAGUACCGUGAGGGAAAGGCGAAAAGAACCCCGGCGAGGGGAGUGAAAAAGAACCUGAAACCGUGUACGUACAAGCAGUGGGAGCCUCUUUUAUGGGGUGACUGCGUACCUUUUGUAUAAUGGGUCAGCGACUUAUAUUCUGUAGCAAGGUUAACCGAAUAGGGGAGCCGAAGGGAAACCGAGUCUUAACUGGGCGUUAAGUUGCAGGGUAUAGACCCGAAACCCGGUGAUCUAGCCAUGGGCAGGUUGAAGGUUGGGUAACACUAACUGGAGGACCGAACCGACUAAUGUUGAAAAAUUAGCGGAUGACUUGUGGCUGGGGGUGAAAGGCCAAUCAAACCGGGAGAUAGCUGGUUCUCCCCGAAAGCUAUUUAGGUAGCGCCUCGUGAAUUCAUCUCCGGGGGUAGAGCACUGUUUCGGCAAGGGGGUCAUCCCGACUUACCAACCCGAUGCAAACUGCGAAUACCGGAGAAUGUUAUCACGGGAGACACACGGCGGGUGCUAACGUCCGUCGUGAAGAGGGAAACAACCCAGACCGCCAGCUAAGGUCCCAAAGUCAUGGUUAAGUGGGAAACGAUGUGGGAAGGCCCAGACAGCCAGGAUGUUGGCUUAGAAGCAGCCAUCAUUUAAAGAAAGCGUAAUAGCUCACUGGUCGAGUCGGCCUGCGCGGAAGAUGUAACGGGGCUAAACCAUGCACCGAAGCUGCGGCAGCGACACUAUGUGUUGUUGGGUAGGGGAGCGUUCUGUAAGCCUGUGAAGGUGUACUGUGAGGUAUGCUGGAGGUAUCAGAAGUGCGAAUGCUGACAUAAGUAACGAUAAAGCGGGUGAAAAGCCCGCUCGCCGGAAGACCAAGGGUUCCUGUCCAACGUUAAUCGGGGCAGGGUGAGUCGACCCCUAAGGCGAGGCCGAAAGGCGUAGUCGAUGGGAAACAGGUUAAUAUUCCUGUACUUGGUGUUACUGCGAAGGGGGGACGGAGAAGGCUAUGUUGGCCGGGCGACGGUUGUCCCGGUUUAAGCGUGUAGGCUGGUUUUCCAGGCAAAUCCGGAAAAUCAAGGCUGAGGCGUGAUGACGAGGCACUACGGUGCUGAAGCAACAAAUGCCCUGCUUCCAGGAAAAGCCUCUAAGCAUCAGGUAACAUCAAAUCGUACCCCAAACCGACACAGGUGGUCAGGUAGAGAAUACCAAGGCGCUUGAGAGAACUCGGGUGAAGGAACUAGGCAAAAUGGUGCCGUAACUUCGGGAGAAGGCACGCUGAUAUGUAGGUGAAGCGACUUGCUCGUGGAGCUGAAAUCAGUCGAAGAUACCAGCUGGCUGCAACUGUUUAUUAAAAACACAGCACUGUGCAAACACGAAAGUGGACGUAUACGGUGUGACGCCUGCCCGGUGCCGGAAGGUUAAUUGAUGGGGUUAGCGGUAACGCGAAGCUCUUGAUCGAAGCCCCGGUAAACGGCGGCCGUAACUAUAACGGUCCUAAGGUAGCGAAAUUCCUUGUCGGGUAAGUUCCGACCUGCACGAAUGGCGUAAUGAUGGCCAGGCUGUCUCCACCCGAGACUCAGUGAAAUUGAACUCGCUGUGAAGAUGCAGUGUACCCGCGGCAAGACGGAAAGACCCCGUGAACCUUUACUAUAGCUUGACACUGAACAUUGAGCCUUGAUGUGUAGGAUAGGUGGGAGGCUUUGAAGUGUGGACGCCAGUCUGCAUGGAGCCGGCCUUGAAAUACCACCCUUUAAUGUUUGAUGUUCUAACGUUGGCCCCUGAUCGGGGUUGCGGACAGUGUCUGGUGGGUAGUUUGACUGGGGCGGUCUCCUCCUAAAGAGUAACGGAGGAGCACGAAGGUUGGCUAAUCCUGGUCGGACAUCAGGAGGUUAGUGCAAUGGCAUAAGCCAGCUUGACUGCGAGCGUGACGGCGCGAGCAGGUGCGAAAGCAGGUCAUAGUGAUCCGGUGGUUCUGAAUGGAAGGGCCAUCGCUCAACGGAUAAAAGGUACUCCGGGGAUAACAGGCUGAUACCGCCCAAGAGUUCAUAUCGACGGCGGUGUUUGGCACCUCGAUGUCGGCUCAUCACAUCCUGGGGCUGAAGUAGGUCCCAAGGGUAUGGCUGUUCGCCAUUUAAAGUGGUACGCGAGCUGGGUUUAGAACGUCGUGAGACAGUUCGGUCCCUAUCUGCCGUGGGCGCUGGAGAACUGAGGGGGGCUGCUCCUAGUACGAGAGGACCGGAGUGGACGCAUCACUGGUGUUCGGGUUGUCAUGCCAAUGGCACUGCCCGGUAGCUAAAUGCGGAAGAGAUAAGUGCUGAAAGCAUCUAAGCACGAAGCUUGCCCCGAGAUGAGUUCUCCCUGAGACUUAGAGUCUCCUGAAGGAACGUUGAAGACGAUGACGUUGAUAGGCCGGGUGUGUAAGCGCAGCGAUGCGUUGAGCUAACCGGUACUAAUGAACCGUGAGGCUUAACCUU
Molecule: ribosomal RNA, 2903 nt
Filed under: Escherichia coli KTE36
Lineage: Bacteria; Pseudomonadati; Pseudomonadota; Gammaproteobacteria; Enterobacterales; Enterobacteriaceae
Description: bacterial LSU rRNA
Rfam family: Bacterial large subunit ribosomal RNA
Source: RNAcentral